CUGGUGUGUUAGAUUCAAGAUCGUCCUGUUGUUGGAAAGAUGUGUGACGAUCUACGGGGAUCAAGUUCUCCUGCCCACUUUUAUUUAUUUUGUGAAGUUGAGCACUUAAAAGAGAUCAGUGCUCACUGUUAACGGUUCAAACUUUGUCGUCAUGACAUGCAGAUUAAUAAAAAUGUAUGCGUGUACAUAGGUGAUUUUUAACAACACUGCAACAAUGUGAAGAAUGAAGAGGUUCUGAAUGCACUUUAGGAGUUUUUGCUGUUUUGGCUCCUGGAGCGCCCCGUUCCAGCAGAGGUCCGGUCUAGCCCCUGUUAAACACCUGGACCAGAUCAAGCACUUCAGGAUCUCUACAGACUUCCAAGUGUGUUGCUGCUGAACUCUACUGGAAGGUAGUCUUCCAGGGUGAGGGCUGGACACAAUGCUUGAGCAUCUUUGAGGCUGGAGUGGUGCAAUGUUUUGUCUCAUUAAGUUCGGUUUUCAAACACUGGGAAUAAAAAUGUUACAUAGAA
This is a long non-coding RNA of Sinocyclocheilus grahami, 509 nucleotides long. RefSeq lists it as uncharacterized. Lineage: Eukaryota; Metazoa; Chordata; Actinopteri; Cypriniformes; Cyprinidae. The record is from RefSeq and is a predicted model, not a curated record. The transcript is spliced from 2 exons.